Molecule: transfer RNA, 67 nt
Filed under: Pseudargyria interruptella
Lineage: Eukaryota; Metazoa; Arthropoda; Insecta; Lepidoptera; Crambidae
Description: tRNA-Leu
Source: RNAcentral
UCUAAUAUGGCAGACUACAUGCAAUGGAUUUAAACCCCAUUUAUAAAGAAAUGAUCUUUUUUUAGAA